Molecule: ribosomal RNA, 631 nt
Filed under: uncultured bacterium
Lineage: Bacteria
Description: bacterial SSU rRNA
Rfam family: Bacterial small subunit ribosomal RNA
Source: RNAcentral
GACACAUGUCAUUUAUUUGAAAGGGGCAAUUGCUCCACUACAAGAUGGACCUGCGUUGUACUAGCUAGUAGGUGAGGUAACGGCUCACCUAGGCGACGAUACAUAGCCGACCUGAGAGGGUGAUCGGCCACACUGGGACUGAGACACGGCCCAGACUCCUACGGGAGGCAGCAGUAGGGAAUCUUCGGCAAUGGGGGCAACCCUGACCGAGCAACGCCGCGUGAGUGAAGAAGGUUUUCGGAUCGUAAAGCUCUGUUGUAAGUCAAGAACGAGUGUGAGAGUGGAAAGUUCACACUGUGACGGUAGCUUACCAGAAAGGGACGGCUAACUACGUGCCAGCAGCCGCGGUAAUACGUAGGUCCCGAGCGUUGUCCGGAUUUAUUGGGCGUAAAGCGAGCGCAGGCGGUUUGAUAAGUCUGAAGUUAAAGGCUGUGGCUCAACCAUAGUUCGCUUUGGAAACUGUCAAACUUGAGUGCAGAAGGGGAGAGUGGAAUUCCAUGUGUAGCGGUGAAAUGCGUAGAUAUAUGGAGGAACACCGGUGGCGAAAGCGGCUCUCUGGUCUGUAACUGACGCUGAGGCUCGAAAGCGUGGGGAGCGAACAGGAUUAGAUACCCUGGUAGUCCACGCCGUA